This 190-nucleotide ribosomal RNA is filed under the name uncultured fungus. Its description in RNAcentral is "partial 18S ribosomal RNA". It matches the Rfam family "Eukaryotic small subunit ribosomal RNA", at positions 892 to 1078 of the family's 1831-position model. Lineage: Eukaryota; Fungi. The record is from RNAcentral.
UAGUAUUCAAUUGUCAGAGGUGAAAUUCUUGGAUUUAUUGAAGACUAACUACUGCGAAAGCAUUUGCCAAGGAUGUUUUCAUUAAUCAAGAACGAAAGUUAGGGGAUCGAAGACGAUCAGAUACCGUCGUAGUCUUAACCAUAAACUAUGCCGACUAGGGAUCGGACGAUGUUAAUUUUUUAAUGACUCG